ACGGAAGGCAGCAGUGGGGAAUAUUGCACAAUGGGCGAAAGCCUGAUGCAGCGACGCCGCGUGAGUGAAGAAGUUAUUCGUAACGUAAAGCUCUAUCAGCAGGGAAGAAAAUGACGGUACCUGACUAAGAAGCCCCGGCUAACUACGUGCCAGCAGCCGCGGUAAUACAUAGGGAGCAAGCGUUAUCCGGAUUUACUGGGUGUAAAGGGUGCGUAGGCGGCAUGGCAAGUCAGUCGUUAAAGACCAGAGCUUAACUCUGGACCAGCGAUUGAAACUGUCAAGCUAGAGUACAGGAGAGGUUAGUGGAAUUACUAGUGUAGAGGUGGAAUUCGUAGAUAUUAGUAAGAACACCAAUGGCGAAGGCAGCUAACUGGCCUGAAACUGACGCUGAGGCACGAAAGUGUGGGGAGCAAACAGGAUUAGAUACCCUGGUA
RNAcentral lists this ribosomal RNA (434 nucleotides) under uncultured Clostridium sp. RNAcentral's name for it is "partial 16S ribosomal RNA". It matches the Rfam family "Bacterial small subunit ribosomal RNA", at positions 341 to 792 of the family's 1533-position model. The record is from RNAcentral. Lineage: Bacteria; Bacillati; Bacillota; Clostridia; Eubacteriales; Clostridiaceae.